GACGAACGCUGGCGGCGUGCCUAAUACAUGCAAGUUGAGCGCUGAAGGUUGGUACUUGUACCAACUGGAUGAGCAGCGAACGGGUGAGUAACGCGUGGGGAAUCUGCCUUUGGGCGGGGGACAACAUUUGGAAACGAAUGCUAUACCGCAUAAAAACUUUAAACACAAGUUUUAAGUUUGAAAGAUGCAAUUGCAUCACUCAAAGAUGAUCCCGCGUUGUAUUAGCUAGUUGGUGAGGUAAAGGCUCACCAAGGCGAUGAUACAUAGCCGACCUGAGAGGGUGAUCGGCCACAUUGGGACUGAGACACGGCCCAAACUCCUACGGGAGGCAGCAGUAGGGAAUCUUCGGCAAUGGACGAAAGUCUGACCGAGCAACGCCGCGUGAGUGAAGAAGGUUUUCGGAUCGUAAAACUCUGUUGGUAGAGAAGAACGUUGGUGAGAGUGGAAAGCUCAUCAAGUGACGGUAACUACCCAGAAAGGGACGGCUAACUACGUG
RNAcentral lists this ribosomal RNA (496 nucleotides) under uncultured bacterium. RNAcentral's name for it is "partial 16S ribosomal RNA". It matches the Rfam family "Bacterial small subunit ribosomal RNA", at positions 28 to 507 of the family's 1533-position model. The record is from RNAcentral.